GCGACCCCAGGUCAGGCGGGAUUACCCGCUGAAUUUAAGCAUCAAUAAAAGAGGCGGAGAGAAA
This 64-nucleotide ribosomal RNA is filed under the name Actaea racemosa. Its description in RNAcentral is "partial 28S ribosomal RNA". Lineage: Eukaryota; Viridiplantae; Streptophyta; Magnoliopsida; Ranunculales; Ranunculaceae. The record is from RNAcentral.